This 3034-nucleotide long non-coding RNA is filed under the name Papio anubis (olive baboon). RNAcentral describes it as "lncRNA (ENSPANG00000051299.1)". The record is from RNAcentral. Lineage: Eukaryota; Metazoa; Chordata; Mammalia; Primates; Cercopithecidae.
GUACUAUUCACAAGAGCAAAGACACAGAAUUAACCUAGGUGGCCAUCCAUGGUAGAUUGGAUAAUGAGAAUGUGGUACAUAUAUACCAUAGAAUAGAAUGUAGCUAUAAAAAAGAAUAAAAUCAUGUCCUUUGCAGCAACAUGGAUGUAACUGGAGGCCAUUAUCCUAAGCUAAUUAAUGUAGGAACAGAAAACCAAAUACCACAUGUUCUCACUUAUAAGUGGGAGCUAAGCAUUGGGUACAAAUGGACAUAAAGAUGGGAACAAUAGACACUGGUGACUACUAGUGGCAGGAGGGAGGAAAGAGGGAAGGACUGAAAAAACUCCUAUUGGGUGCUAUACUUACCACCUAGGUGACGGGAUCAUUCAUACGCCAAACCUCAGCAUCACACAAUAUUCACAUGUAACAAACUUGCACAUGUACUCACUGAAUCUAAAAUAAAAAUUGAAAUUUAAAAAAAUUUUAAAAACAGUGCUUAGUUCAUAUUAAUUAUGCAAUAAAAUUAGCUAUUACAAACUGUCAAUGUAACAGUGCAUGUUUUAGUAACAUGGGGGCGUCAUUCUCUCCAACUUUAUUCCCUUCUGGCAUAUAUUCCAAAAAGAAGCAAAAGAAGUGGUAGGAGCUGGACUUCCUGGCAUCCAGAGUUUUAACUACAAUCAUGAAAGCAUAAGAAUCGUUCACAAGAAAUGGAAUUGGAUGGAGAAAAACAACUUACUGCCAUCAGUUUGGUUCAAAUUGCUGAUGGUUGAUCUGGAGUUUUCUGUCACGAACAGGUUUUGAAACAUGUAGGCAAUGCAUGUGAUAUGGUUUGGCUCUGUGUCCCCAACUAACUCUCAUAUUGAAUUGUAAUUCCCAAUGUUGGGGGAAGGACCUGGUGGGAGGUGAUUGGCUCAUGGGGGCAGAUUUCCUCCUUUUUGUUCUCAUGAUAGUGAAUGAGUUCCCAUGAAAUCUGGUUGUUUAAAAGUGUGUAGCAGUUCCUCUUUCUCUUUCUCUCUGUCUGUCUGUCUGUCUCUCUCUCUCUCUCUCUCUCUCUCUCUCCUGCUGCCAUGUGAACACGUGUUUGCUUUUCCUUUGCCCAUUCACCAUGACGGUGAGUUUCCUGAGGCCUCCCCAAUCAUGCUUCCUGUCCAGCCUGCAGAAAUGACAUGUGGACUGGUGCUCCAGCAGCCAUUUUGGACCAUGAAGUGACCUUGGGAAUGAAAGCUAAGGAUAAUGGAGCAAAAACAUUGAAGCCUGGAUUCCCGAAGAUACCGGAGAGCUGCCAUGCCACCCCUGGAUGGCCUGCUUCCCAAAUUUCUUUUAUGUAAGACAGAAAUCAACUUUAAUCUUUUUAUAUCGUUUUCUCAUAUUUAUGCAGGCAAAUUGAGUCCUAAGUGAUACCAGUUUUUUUGUUUGUUUUUUGAGACGGAGUCUUGCUCUGUUGCCCAGGCUGGAGUGCAGUGGUGCAAACUCGGUUCACGGCAAGCUCUGCCUCCUGGGUUCACACCAUUCUCCCACCUCAGCCUCCUGAGUAGCUGGGACUACGGGUGCCCACCACCACGCCCGGCUAAUUUUUUGUAUUUUUAGUAGAGACGGGGUUUCACCGUGUUAGCCAGGAUGGUCUCAAUCUCCUGACCUCGUGAUCCACCCGUCUAGGCCUCCCAAAGUGCUGGGAUUACAGACAUGAGCCACCACGCCCAGCUGUGAUACCAGUUUUAAUAGGUGUUCAAUGAAGAAAAGGUUCUGUGGUCAAAUAAUUUUGAGAACUAUUACAUUAAACUUUAACAGAUUUCAUUAGUGCAGGACCUCUCAGGGUUUUUAAUAUGUGAACAGGAAUCUCCAAGAACCUCCAGGAGGGGCUACAGUAUACUCAACUUCCCAAACUAACUUGUCCCCAAAACCUCUUUUUAGUGGAAAAUCUUAUGGGACAAAUAACUUGAGAAGAUGAAAUGUUGCUUUAAAAAUUUUUUGUAUUUUUGACUCUCCCUUUCUAAUCCAUCCUUUUCCAGGUAGCUAGAGAGGUGUUUGUUAAAGAUAAACUUGAUGACAUCACAUUCUUGUUUUAAAUCCUUGAAUGAUUCCUGUAGGAUAAAUUUCAAACUCCUUCAUGUAACAUACAAGACUUUUCGUGAUCUGGCCCUUGCCUUCUUUUUGGCCUCACCCUAACCAUAUCCAUGACCCUUCUGCAGUGCUGAGAACUGACUCUAUUUUCCCUAGUUUCUCUACCUCUACACAUGCUAUGCCCCCUUCAAGGAACACUUUCUACUUGCCACCUUGCUUGGCAUUCUACCUCUGAUCUUUGAGACCAGGCUCAGGUAUCAGCUCAUUCACUCUUGUCCAUACUUCAAGAAACGCUUACUAUGUGCCACGCAUUGCACUUGUGCUUGAGUUACAAACACAGUCCCUGCCCUGGAGUGACAUGGAAUCAAAUGAAGUUAGACAAGUACUGUAUCAGACAGGGUAUACUAAUAGCUGUAACAGACAACCUUCACAUUUCAGUGACUUGACACCAUGACAUUUUAUUUCUUGCUUACAACAUGAUCCAGUGCAAGUGAGCACAGAGGUUCUACUCUAUGCAGUGAGCCACCAUUGCCAUUUUCUGGGGCCUCUGAGUCCUCCACUCAAUAUUUUUGCACCUGGCCAGGCAUGAGGAAAGGAGAAGUUUGGAAGAUCUCAUGGGAGUUUUUAGGGGAUGUCCAGAAACGGGAUAUAUUUACCACUUCUGUCCAGAUUCCAUUACCCAGAGCUCAAUUACAUGGGCCUACCUGAUUACUGAGAAAUGUAGUUUUAUUAUGAACCUAGGAGGAAAAUGAAAUGGGCUGGUGAAAAGAGUUGUUUUUCCUGCCACAGGUUUAUCAACAAGAACAAUAAAGAAGCUCAUGGUCUAACAGAGGAAACAGACAAGUGAACAGAGACAUGAAGGCAAGAGAGAACAGAGUCAGGUGGGAUGCAACUCUUUCUUUGUGGUGUUACUAUAAGAAAGUUCUAGAACUGCUGGAAGCCCUUCUGUGGCUCCCUUCAGAGCUCCUAAGGAUUGCUUUUCUGGGCCCCUUUA